RNAcentral lists this ribosomal RNA (252 nucleotides) under uncultured Ferribacterium sp. RNAcentral's name for it is "partial 16S ribosomal RNA". It matches the Rfam family "Bacterial small subunit ribosomal RNA", at positions 526 to 777 of the family's 1533-position model. Lineage: Bacteria; Pseudomonadati; Pseudomonadota; Betaproteobacteria; Rhodocyclales; Azonexaceae. The record is from RNAcentral.
CGUAGGGUGCGAGCGUUAAUCGGAAUUACUGGGCGUAAAGCGUGCGCAGGCGGUUUGUUAAGAUAGGCGUGAAAUCCCCGGGCUCAACCUGGGAACUGCGUUUAUGACUGGCAGGCUAGAGUAUGGCAGAGGGGGGUGGAAUUCCACGUGUAGCAGUGAAAUGCGUAGAGAUGUGGAGGAACACCGAUGGCGAAGGCAGCCCCCUGGGCCAAUACUGACGCUCAUGCACGAAAGCGUGGGUAGCAAACAGGA